AUAUUCCUGAACUUGGUAUUUAUCGUUUGACUGAAGGAGUGACGGAGAAAGGUAGCACAUCCACAGACUGGUUGUUGUGGUGUAAGGUCGUAGGUGGGAUCGGUAGGCAAAUCCGCUGGUCCAUUCAACACUGAGAACUGAUGCCGAGGCGCAAGCCGAAGUGUGUGACCCUAAGCUUCCAAGAAAAGCUUCGUAGGGAGAUAAGUAUUAAUCCGUACCAAAACCGACACAGGUAGAUGAGGCGAGAAGCCUAAGGUGAAUGGAUGAACUAUUGUUAAGGAACUCUGCAAAUUAGUACUGUAACUUCGGUAUAAAGUACGCCCUU
This 325-nucleotide ribosomal RNA is filed under the name Astrosyne radiata. RNAcentral's name for it is "partial Bacterial large subunit ribosomal RNA". It matches the Rfam family "Bacterial large subunit ribosomal RNA", at positions 1433 to 1755 of the family's 2925-position model. The record is from RNAcentral. Lineage: Eukaryota; Bacillariophyta; Fragilariophyceae; Cyclophorales; Cyclophoraceae.